RNAcentral lists this ribosomal RNA (253 nucleotides) under uncultured bacterium. Its description in RNAcentral is "partial 16S ribosomal RNA". It matches the Rfam family "Bacterial small subunit ribosomal RNA", at positions 524 to 776 of the family's 1533-position model. The record is from RNAcentral.
UACAGAGGCCCCAAGCGUUACUGAGAAUCACUGGGUUUAAAGGGUGCGUAGGUGGUCCAUUAAGUUCGUUGUGAAAGCCCUGGGCUCAACCCAGGAACUGCUUCGAAUACUGGCGGACUUGAGGCUAGUAGAGGUCACUGGAACUGACGGUGGAGCGGUGAAAUGCGUAGAUAUCGUCAGGAACGCCAAUGGUGAAGACAGGUGACUGGGCUAGAUCUGACACUGAGGCACGAAAGCGUGGGGAUCAAACGGG